CCUACGGGAGGCAGCAGUGAGGAAUAUUGGUCAAUGGGCGUAAGCCUGAACCAGCCAAGUCGCGUGAGGGAUGAAGGUUCUAUGGAUCGUAAACCUCUUUUAUAAGGGAAUAAAGUGUGGGACGUGUCCUGUUUUGUAUGUACCUUAUGAAUAAGGAUCGGCUAACUCCGUGACAGCAGCCGCGGUAAUACGGAGGAUCCGAGCGUCGUCCGGAUUUAUUGGGUUUAAAGGGUGCUUAGGCGGCCUUAUAAUGAUGGAGUUAAAGUCUUGGACUAAAACAUAGAAUUGCCGUUGAAACUGGGAGGCUUGAGUAUUUUUGAGGCAGGCGGAAUGCGUGGUGUAGCGGUGAAAUGCUUAGAUAUCACGCAGAACCCCGAUUGCGAAGGCAGCCUGCCAAGCCAUGACUGACGCUGAUGCACGAAAGCGUGGGGAUCAAACAGGAUUAGAUACCCCGGUAGUC
This 460-nucleotide ribosomal RNA is filed under the name uncultured bacterium. Its description in RNAcentral is "partial 16S ribosomal RNA". It matches the Rfam family "Bacterial small subunit ribosomal RNA", at positions 338 to 795 of the family's 1533-position model. The record is from RNAcentral.